UUUUUUUUUCCCUAAAAAAAGGUAAGCAUCUUUGAUAAAUGUCUUUCAAAUAUCACAAGAAGGCACCUGUUUGCAUGUCUCAAUGAUUUUUUAGCUUUUAUAUUUGUAAAAUAAAAUACAAAUAUAUAAAACAAUAGGAAACAAAUGUGUAAGGUAAAAACACCUGUGGUCGGGAGAAUUCUAAAGAUGUCCUCCCAGGAUUCUGGUCGCCUAGUUAUUCAGUCAAACACCAGUCUAGGCGUUGCUGUGAAGGGACUUUGAGACGGAAUUAAGUUUACUCAUCAGCUGACCUUAAAAUAGGGAACUUAUCCUGGAUUAUCAAGGUGGGACCAAUGUAAUCACAUAAGCCCUUAGAAACAGAAGAGGAAAGCAAAAGAGUUGCAGCAGAAGGAGAAAUCAGAGAGAUUCAAAGCACAGAAAGGACUCAACCCACUGCUGCCUGCUGCCGUUGAAGACGGAGCGGACAAUGUAAAAGGAAUGUGGGUAGUCUUAAGAAGCUGAGAGAGGCUCCUGGCUGACAGCCAGCAAGGAACAGGAUCCUCAGCCCUGCAGCCACAAGGAACUGAAUUCAGCCAACCGCCUGAAUGAGCAUAAAGCCUCCAGAUCAGAGCCCAGCUGCCCAAGAACUUGAUUUCCGCCUUGUGAGACCCACAGCAGAAAAUCCAGGCAAGCUCACCUGGACUUCUGACCUACAGAACUGUCAGGUCUUAUCAAAUUUAAGAGAAAUUUGUCUGCCGAGAAGAUAUAACUGAUAAAAGGAUGGAGGGUCAAAGGCAGGCAUAUGUUGCCAUCUUACAGUGAAACCUACACGGUUGCAGCAGGACCCUGGCAAAUUGCUCCAGCUCUAAGUGUCCAAAAAUUACCUCGGCACUGUUAUGUACCGGCAUGUUGCCUUGAGCUCGUUAUGUAAUGGCAUAGAACUCAUUAUGUAGUAGCCUGCACAUAUGCCCUGAUCGGGCCCAGCUGUUAUACAGUUGUAACACAUCCUCUGCACUCUGGUGUAUAAAAUCUCCAAAUGCACUGAGCUUGGUUGGGGGGACGGGGGGAGAGGGACACUGCUUUGGGAGCCAUCCCCGAUGUUCUCCAUUGUUUGUGCAAGCAAU
RNAcentral lists this long non-coding RNA (1103 nucleotides) under Equus caballus (horse). RNAcentral's name for it is "lncRNA (ENSECAG00000046936.1)". Lineage: Eukaryota; Metazoa; Chordata; Mammalia; Perissodactyla; Equidae. The record is from RNAcentral.